AUAAAGGCUUUUUUAAAAGCUAAAAAAUCUAAAUAUUUGCUAGUAU
This is a non-coding RNA of Eutypa lata, 46 nucleotides long. Lineage: Eukaryota; Fungi; Ascomycota; Sordariomycetes; Xylariales; Diatrypaceae. The record is from Rfam.